This 72-nucleotide transfer RNA is filed under the name Chloropicon primus. RNAcentral describes it as "tRNA-Pro (AGG) (tRNA-Pro-AGG-1-1)". It matches the Rfam family "tRNA". Rfam says of the family: Transfer RNA (tRNA) molecules are approximately 80 nucleotides in length. Their secondary structure includes four short double-helical elements and three loops (D, anti-codon, and T loops). Further hydrogen bonds mediate the characteristic L-shaped molecular structure. tRNAs have two regions of fundamental functional importance: the anti-codon, which is responsible for specific mRNA codon recognition, and the 3' end, to which the tRNAs corresponding amino acid is attached (by aminoacyl-tRNA synthetases). tRNAs cope with the degeneracy of the genetic code in two manners: having more than one tRNA (with a specific anti-codon) for a particular amino acid; and 'wobble' base-pairing, i.e. permitting non-standard base-pairing at the 3rd anti-codon position. Lineage: Eukaryota; Viridiplantae; Chlorophyta; Chloropicophyceae; Chloropicales; Chloropicaceae. The record is from RNAcentral.
GGGGCUAUGGUCUAGUGGUAUGAUUCUCGCUUAGGGUGCGAGCGGUCCCGGGUUCGAUUCUCGGUAGCCCCC